CGUGAGUAACCUGCCCCUGACUCUGGGAUAAGCGUUGGAAACGACGUCUAAUACUGGAUAUGAUCACUGGCCGCAUGGUCUGGUGGUGGAAAGAUUUUUUGGUUGGGGAUGGACUCGCGGCCUAUCAGCUUGUUGGUGAGGUAAUGGCUCACCAAGGCGACGACGGGUAGCCGGCCUGAGAGGGUGACCGGCCACACUGGGACUGAGACACGGCCCAGACUCCUACGGGAGGCAGCAGUGGGGAAUAUUGCACAAUGGGCGAAAGCCUGAUGCAGCAACGCCGCGUGAGGGAUGACGGCCUUCGGGUUGUAAACCUCUUUUAGUAGGGAAGAAGCGAAAGUGACGGUACCUGCAGAAAAAGCACCGGCUAACUACGUGCCAGCAGCCGCGGUAAUACGUAGGGUGCAAGCGUUGUCCGGAAUUAUUGGGCGUAAAGAGCUCGUAGGCGGUUUGUCGCGUCUGCUGUGAAAUCCCGAGGCUCAACCUCGGGCUUGCAGUGGGUACGGGCAGACUAGAGUGCGGUAGGGGAGAUUGGAAUUCCUGGUGUAGCGGUGGAAUGCGCAGAUAUCAGGAGGAACACCGAUGGCGAAGGCAGAUCUCUGGGCCGUAACUGACGCUGAGGAGCGAAAGCAUGGGGAGCGAACAGGAUUAGAUACCCUGGUAGUCCAUGCCGUAAACGUUGGGCGCUAGAUGUAGGGACCUUUCCACGGUUUCUGUGUCGUAGCUAACGCAUUAAGCGCCCCGCCUGGGGAGUACGGCCGCAAGGCUAAAACUCAAAGGAAUUGACGGGGGCCCGCACAAGCGGCGGAGCAUGCGGAUUAAUUCGAUGCAACGCGAAGAACCUUACCAAGGCUUGACAUACACCGGAAACGGCCAGAGAUGGUCGCCCCCUUGUGGUCGGUGUACAGGUGGUGCAUGGUUGUCGUCAGCUCGUGUCGUGAGAUGUUGGGUUAAGUCCCGCAACGAGCGCAACCCUCGUUCUAUGUUGCCAGCGGGUUAUGCCGGGGACUCAUAGGAGACUGCCGGGGUCAACUCGGAGGAAGGUGGGGAUGACGUCAAAUCAUCAUGCCCCUUAUGUCUUGGGCUUCACGCAUGCUACAAUGGCCGGUACAAAGGGCUGCGAUACCGUAAGGUGGAGCGAAUCCCAAAAAGCCGGUCUCAGUUCGGAUUGAGGUCUGCAACUCGACCUCAUGAAGUCGGAGUCGCUAGUAAUCGCAGAUCAGCAACGCUGCGGUGAAUACGUUCCCGGGCCUUGUACACACCGCCCGUCAAGUCAUGAAAGUCGGUAACACCCGAAGCCGGUGGCCUAACC
RNAcentral lists this ribosomal RNA (1312 nucleotides) under Curtobacterium flaccumfaciens. RNAcentral's name for it is "bacterial SSU rRNA". It matches the Rfam family "Bacterial small subunit ribosomal RNA", at positions 116 to 1440 of the family's 1533-position model. The record is from RNAcentral. Lineage: Bacteria; Bacillati; Actinomycetota; Actinomycetes; Micrococcales; Microbacteriaceae.